This 494-nucleotide ribosomal RNA is filed under the name uncultured bacterium. Its description in RNAcentral is "partial 16S ribosomal RNA". It matches the Rfam family "Bacterial small subunit ribosomal RNA", at positions 28 to 507 of the family's 1533-position model. The record is from RNAcentral.
GACGAACGCUGGCGGCGUGCUUAACACAUGCAAGUCGAACGGAAAGGCCUGUCCUUCCUUGUGUUGGACGGGUACUCGAGUGGCGAACGGGUGAGUAACACGUGAGUGAUCUGCCCCCAACUUGGGUAUAAGCCUGGGAAACUGGGUCUAAUUCCCGAUAGGACUGCAGGGUGGUGCCUGUGGUGGAAAACGAUUUUCUAGUGGUUGGGGAUGAGCUCGCGGCCUAUCAGCUUGUUGGUGGGGUAAUGGCCUACCAAGGCGGCGACGGGUAGCCGGCCUGAGAGGGUGGACGGCAACAUUGGGACUGAGAUACGGCCCAGACUCCUACGGGAGGCAGCAGUGGGGAAUAUUGCACAAUGGGCGGAAGCCUGAUGCAGCGACGCCGCGUGGGGGAUGACGGCCUUCGGGUUGUAAACUCCUUUCGACCGCGAGGAAGCCGCCUGGUUGGAAGGGUGGUGACGGUAGUGGUAGAAGAAGCACCGGCUAACUACGUG